CUUUUAUUUCCCUUUAUUUGGAUGGGGGGAGUGGGGAAAAUUAUGAUGCCAUACAGCAAACAAGAUUGGAGAGAAAUCAUUUGGGCUCAAGCUUGGAACAACUUUCUAAUGAUUUUAAGAUAGUUACUGUGCCUGUGAAUUACAUAUUGGUAAAGCAAUUUUUUUACCUAUCUUCCAGUGAUCAAAAUAAAAUUAAUUUUUCUAAAGUCAUAUUUAGGAGAGACUAAACAGAACCCACAAAUCAUUUUAAUCAUCCCAAUGGAUAGCAAAGAUUUUAAUCUUAAAUUAACUGAGAAAAUUGGAAUUUUGUUCAUAAUAUGUAAAUGGCCAGUAUAUAAAGGGUCACAUAGCUUCUCUAUAUUGUCAUUCCUCCUGGAAACUAAGCUUAAGUAUUGUAAGUAUGUGCAAAGUUAAAGAGGUGCUUAGAAACCAUGAAUUAAAACAUUCAAAGGUGAAAUAUCUUGAUAGUUUAAGCAACUGAAUUCUUUGGUAGAAGAGAAUCAAUUGUAAAGUCUUAUGGGUUCAUCAUGAAGUUUCCCAAGGCUUCCAUGGUUGAUAUAGGUCUUACCCCUGACUGAUUAGAGCUUAAUUUAGCUCCCUUGAAGCCUCUCCUUUUAAUGAGUUGCUUUCAUUGGCUCCCUAGUCACCAGAGGCACACUUUCUCCCUCUAGUGGUUGAGCCUUCUGAUAGUUUAUAUUUGGGUUACCCUCUCUCCCCAGGAGUGAGAUUCUUGAACACAGGAAGGAGAUGGAUCUCAGAUUUUGGAGUGGCAAAAGUCUCAAUGGCUGCUCUGAGUUAGACCACCUUGUACACCUUUCCUUUCUUUAACAUCACAUGCUCCUUUCUCAUUUGCAGAUCAUAGUGUAUUCAACUCAUUCAGGGAAGUCAAGGUUGUUUACAUGCUAGGAUUGGGGUUCUGUUUCAUGCUUCUGGAGCUAUGGUCCUGGCACUAAAACUUACAAUGAAAUCCACUCAUGGGAAGGAACCCUUACAUAAAUUGCAGUAAUUCAAGAUUGUCUCCACAGUAUUUUGGUAGUAAUUAUAGGAUGCGUAUAUUUGUGUUCUUUGCCAUAAUUGCACUGCACAUGAAAAUAUACUACCAGGGAAAUGGAAUACCCAUAUUCUUUUGCCACUGUAUCCAGUUGGUGAGUUAAAUUUUCACUUUGACAAGGGGGUGACAAGACAGGGAGAAAACAUACCUUACCUCUUCCAUUUUUCACAUAGCUUUACCCUGUAGAAACUUCUUCCCAGCACCAAAUCCUGGUUUGCAACUUGUAUAUUUCCUUCAUAACAUAAUUUAUAAAUAUUUUAUUCAUGUGUUGAGUUUUAAAAUCAGUCUCUCCCACCAGAGUGUGAUCAUUUUUAAGGACAGGGAUUAUGUGUGUCCUGAUAAUCACUGUUUUCUAGGAACUAGAAUAGUAUUUGGCACAAGUUGGCACUCAAACAUUUAUUGAAUGAAUGAAUUUGAAGGAAAUUAC
RNAcentral lists this long non-coding RNA (1478 nucleotides) under Marmota monax (woodchuck). The record is from RNAcentral. Lineage: Eukaryota; Metazoa; Chordata; Mammalia; Rodentia; Sciuridae.